GGUUUGAUUAUGGCUCAGAUUGAACGCUGGCGGGAUGUUUACACAUGCAAGUCGAACAGCAGCCUGGACUUCGGUCUGGUGGCGAAAUUGGCGAACAGCGAACGGUAAUGUCGGAACGUGCCUAGUAGCGGGGGAUAGCUACGCGAAAGCGUAGCUAAUACCGCAUACGCCCUUCAGGGGAAAACGGGGACCUUCGGGCCUCGUACUAUUAGAGCGGCCGAUAUCGGAUUAGCUAGUUGUUGAGGUAACGGCUCGCAAGGCGACGAUCCGUAGCUGGUUUGAGAGGACGACCAGCCACACUGGGAUUACCAGACUUACGACCCGAACUCCUACGGGAGAACAACGGUGAAAUUUUGGACAAUGGAAGCGAUCCAGCCAUCCCGCGUGUGGUGAAGGCCUUCCGGUUUGUAAAGCACUUUUGGCAGGAAAGAAACGGCACAGGAUAAUACCCCGUGCAACUGACAAACACCUGCAGAAUAAGCGCCGGCUAACUGCGCAGCAGCCGCGGUAAUACGUAGGGUGCAAGCGUUAAUGGAAUUACUGGGCGUAAAAGCGUGCGCAGGCGGUUGGAGAAGAAGAUGUGAAAUCCCAGAGCUUAACUUUGGAACUGCAUUUUUAACUACCGAGCUGAGAGAGUGUGUCAGAGGAGGUGGAAUUCCGCGAUGUGUGGUAUUACGUAGAUAUACGGAAGAACACCGAUGGCGAAGGCAGCCCUCCUGGAUAACACUGGUACGCUCAUGCAGAAAACAUUAGAACAAACAAGUUAGAUACCCUGGUAGUCCGCUAAACGAUGUCAACUAGCUGUUGGGGCCUUCGGGCCUUGGUAGCGCAGCUAACGCGUGAAGUUGACCGCCUGGGGAAGUACGGUCGCAAGAUUAAGAAAACUCAAAGAAUUGACGGGACCCGCACAAGCGGUGGAUGAUGUGGAUUAAUUCGAUGCAACGCGAAAACCUUACUACCCUUGACAUGUCUGAAUCCCGAAGAGAUUUGGGAGUGUAGAGAACAGGAACACAGGUGCUGCAUGGCGCCGUCGGCUCGACAUCAUGAGAUGUUGGGUUAAGUCCGCAACAGGCCUGUGUGUCAUUAGUUGCUGCGAAGGGCACUCUAAUGAGACUGCCGGUGACAAACCGGAGGAAGGUGGGGAUGACGUCAAGUCCUCAGCGAAGCACUUAUGGGUAGGGCUUCACGUCAUACAAUGGUCGGGACAGAGGGUCGCCAACUGCGAGAGGCCAAUCCCAGAAACCCGAUCGUAGUCCGGAUCGCAGUCUGCAACUCGACUGCGUGAAGUCAGGAAUCGCCAGUAAUCGCGGAUCAGCAUGUCGCGGUACGGAAUACGUUCCCACGGUGUACCGCCCGUCACACCAUGGGAGUGGGUUUUACCAGAAGUAGUUAGCCUAACCAUCAAGGAGGCGAUUACCACGGUAGGAUUCAUGACUGGGGCAAGUCGUAACAAAGGUAG
Molecule: ribosomal RNA, 1459 nt
Filed under: uncultured Bordetella sp.
Lineage: Bacteria; Pseudomonadati; Pseudomonadota; Betaproteobacteria; Burkholderiales; Alcaligenaceae
Description: partial 16S-23S ribosomal RNA intergenic spacer
Rfam family: Bacterial small subunit ribosomal RNA
Source: RNAcentral